UCCCUCCAUCCAACCGUCGGCGCUCGCAGGGCGUUGAGAGUGCUUCACACAAACGGAGAGAAAUGGUUGAUAUUAGUAUAGUCAUGGUUAAUAUAAACCUUAAAUACCUUUUUAAAGAUUAGAAGCUGAGCUGGGAACGGGGCAAUCAGGCAGCCUCGAGGGGGGACUGCAGGGAGCAGGGGAGAGGCUUAGAGAGUUCUGAAUGCCACACGCGAGGCACUUUUCUCAGGGGGCUCUUAAGCCCUAACACCUUUAUAAUUUCCCCUUAAGAUGCUAAUGAUCUAUUAAUCACUGUUUCUGGCUGACUUCCCUUUACACCAGUGCCUUCAGAAGCUCCCCUACCGAGUGGGCCUGUCUUAGGGAGGAAUUACUUCCUACAGCUAAUCCAGAGUUCCCGCCCCCUGCAACAAAACCCACAGCAGCUUCUCCUCCGGUAAAGCCGGGAUCUGAGCAGACAGUCACUCCUGUGGGCAGCGCUGGCUGGAAAGGACACUGGAGCAGGCCGCGCCUGGGCCUUGGAGACACGCACAGGACCCUGGAGGAGGCCACACCUGGGCCUCGGGAACGCGCACAGGACCCCGGAGGAGGCCACACCUGGGCCUCGGGAACAGGCACCAGCAGAGGCAGGACUGGAAAGGACAGGAGAGGCUGGGCCCACAUUUAAUCUCUGUUCCCUCUCCCUCCACAGUGGUGCCUUUAUUUCUAGAAGCAACGAAGGAAACACAGUAGACUCAGAGCCAGAAGAGGAAGAGGAGGCCAGCUCCCACUGCUGCAGCACUCAGCUGGGGUCAGCGGGGCUGUGGCGUUGCACCACUCCAUGAAGGGCCUGGUGUCCCUUGACUUGGACACCCUCGACCCUGCCAGGCUCGGCCCCACAGCCUUGCUCAAUCCCCUCAGCACCCUCGUCUCCAGCAGACGGGUAUCCUGGACAUGUCUCACCUGAUUUGACACAAGACCACCAAGACAAGGGGCAGGUGGGUGCAGUGGCUCACAUCUAUAAUCCCAGCACUUUGGGAGGCUGAAGCAGGAAGAUUGCUUGAGCCCAGGGGUUGGAGAUCACCCUGGGCAACAUGGUAAAACCCGUCUCUACAAAAAAUACAAAAAUUAGCCAGGUGUGGUGGUGCAUGCCUGUGGUCUCAGCUACUCAGGAGGCUGAGGUGGGAGGACCGCUGGAGCCAGGGAAGUCGAGGCUGCAGUGAGCUGUGUUUGCUCCACUGCACUCCAGCCAGGGAGAUAAAGCAAGACCCUGUUUCAAAAAAAAAAAAAAAAAAGUAAAGAAGGCCAGGCACAGUGGCUCACACCGGUAAUCCCAACACUUUGGGCGGCUGAGACAGGCAGACCCCUUGAGUUCAGGAGUUAGAGACAAGCCUGGCCAACAUGGUGAAACCCCAUCUCUACUAAAAAUACAAAAAUUAGCCAGGCGUGUUGGCUCAUGCCUGUAGUUCCAGCUACUCGAGAGGCUUAGACAGAAGAAUCGCUUGAACCCGGAAGGCAGAGGUUGUAGUGUGCAGAGACUGAGCCAUUGCACUCCAGGCUGGGCAACAGAGUGAGACUGUCUCAAAAAAAAAAAAAAAAAAAUAGAAAAGGGGCAGCUUCCUCUGAAGCCAGCUCUGCAGACUGGCAGCUGCCUGACACCUCAGCCGGGCCAUUUCCUGAACGGCUAGGCAGGGGCACGUUGGGCUUUAACUGCCCUCAGCCCCACCCCAACCAGGGCUCGCUGCACCAGAAGCUUCCUAGAAAACCACAUCUUUUCUGCUAAGAAUCAGAAAAGUCGUGAUAUUCUCAGACAUCAGCCAACUACAGACUGGCCUGCAGAAGGAAGGAAAGUAGAAGGAGGAAGUCAAGUGAUGCUGGGGCAAGGCAGCGUGGCCGGGCACCGCGGUCGGAACUCUCGUGCUGGUUUGCAGCUCAGAAGCGGUCCGCAGCCCCUGCCGUCCAGCCCUAACCCUGACCUCUUUAGGCCUCAGUUUCCCCACCUAGACAAGGAUGAUGGUCCAUGAGUCUGCUAUUUUUCAUUGAGCAACCUUGUACUCAGUGCCUGUUCGGAAUGAGAAUAGCAAUGUCUACAGUUCCAAUGCUUUCGCCACACCUUACUCAUGUCUUGUAUUUAAAUCCGGUCUGAUGAUUUACAUAAUGCUUCACCCACGAGAAUUCCUUCAGCAGGGAAUGAGGGUGUCAUGGAGACGCCGCCUCGGGCCUCGGUAACCACUAGGGAAGAAACGCCAGGGACACCUGGUCCUGACUUGGGAUCUGGUGCUCCAGGCUCUAGCUCUGUCCAUAGCCCAAGGGUGCUGAGCCCCAAGUGGUCACACCUGCAAUGUCACUGAGCUUGGGUAGUGGUCCAUCCAGGGCCAGCCAGCCCAACGUAGCAGGGGCCCGCCUUCCCCAGGGACACCGUGUGGCCCAGGAGCCACAGCAGAGGAAGCUGAGCAGGGCGGCAGAGGAAGCUGAGCAGGGUGGCAGCUCCCUGGGAGGCCACACCUGUACCCCAGGGGUUCUUGGACAAUUGGGGGCAGGGCUCAAGAGGGAGAUCAGAUAUCCCCCUAACAAAGAGAGUGGGGGCUGGAGCGGUGAAUUUGGACACUGAAAGAGGAGUGACUGUAUUUGUACCCUGAGUGUGUGCGCCAGUCCUUGAGGGCAUUACAUUUUACAUUACGUUUGUAAUCAGAAAAGUAGACUUUCAAAAGAAGACAUCAUCUAAGUUACUUGUUAGGAGUGGCAGAUUCAUCUCCCCGGAGCUGGUGACAGUAGGGAGGCAUUUGAAAAGGUGCCUGGACAGCACAGGCCUUGAGGGAGGACAGGUCCUCCAUGCCCAGAAUGCAACUGGCUGGCUAAGGUGCCUUCGAGGUUCCCCAGGCUGCCUGUGUAGAGAAAGCAGCAGCUGGCCCAGCAGCCCAGCUGCAAAGGGCCCUCACCAUGCACCAGUUAGUUACUCAUUCAUUCAUUUAGAUGAGGUCUCGCUCUGUCAUCCAGGCUCAAUCAUAGCUGGGUGGGGCAAUCAUAGCUCACUGCAGCCUCAACUUCCUGGCCUCAAUUGAUCCUCCCAUCUCAGCCUCCUGCCUCUGUGCACCUGUCCCGAGGCCCCAACCUGCAGUCCUGAGACUACAGAUGCAUCUGGCCCCCGGACCUGCACUGUGUGGAUGUGGCUUCUGUCAGUUCACUGCCUCAGGAGCAAGAGUAGGAAUGGGAGGUCCUCCCAAGAUGGAAGUUCACUGUUCUGUGAAACAUGAACCCCCCGGACCUCCGUCGCCAGAGUGGUCCAGCAGGGUGCACAGGGGCUCCGGCCCCAAGCCGGCCUGCUUCUGAUGGAGGGGUUUACACCGGAGCGAGGAGCUGCCCACCCGAGUCUCAGGCUCCUCAUUCAUCAACUGUGGAUGUUGUUAGUUUAAGAAUAUAAAGUGCUGCCGGGCACGGUGGCACCUACAGUCCCAGCUACUUGCGACGCUGGGGCAGGAAGAUCACUGGAGCCCAGGUGUUCAAGUCCAGCCUAUGAGACAGAGUGAGACCCCAUCUGAUUGACUGAUUGAUUGGUUAAUUGAUUAAUUGAUUGGUUGAGACAGGAUCUCACUCUGUUACCCAGCCUGAAGUGCAGUGGUGCGAUCUCAGCUCACUGCACCCUUGGCCUCCUGGAUUCAAACAAUUCUCUCACCCUGCCUCCUGAGUAGCUGGGACUACAGGUGCCUGCCACCACACCAAGCUAAUUUUUUUAUUUUUUGUAGAGACAGGGUUUCCCUAUGUUGCCAUGGCUGGUCUCGGACUGCUGGGCUUAAGUGAUCCUCCCAUCUCAGCCUCCCAAAGUUCUGGGAUUACAGGCAUGAGCCACCGUAGUGAGGGUAGCAGUGGUGGUAGUAACAGUAGGUAGUGAUGGUAGUGAUGUUAGUGAUGGUAGGUAGUAAUGAUAGUGAUGGUAGGUAGUGAUGGUAGGUAAUGAUGGUAGUGAUAGUAGGUAGUGAUGGUAGUGAUGGUAGGUAGGGAUGGUAGUGAUAGUAGGUAGGGAUGGUAGUGAUAGUAGUGAUGGUAGGUAAUGAUGAUGGUAGUGAUGGUAGGUUGGGAUGGUAGUGAUGGUAGGGAUGGUAGUGAUGGUAGUGAUGGUAGGUAGUGAUGGUAGUGAUGGUAGGUAGGGAUGGUAGUGAUGGUAGGUAGUGAUGAUGGUAGCGAUGGUAGGGAUGGUAGUGAUAGUAGUGAGGGUAGGUAGUGAUGAUGGUAGUGAUGGUAGGUAGGGAUGAUGGUAGCGAUGGUAGGUAGUGAUGGUUGUGAUAGUAGUGAUGGUAGGUAGUGAUGGGUAGUGAUGGUAGGUAGUGAUAGUAAGUAGCGGUGGUAGCAUGGGGAUGCUGCCGUGAAGCAGAGGAGGCUUCACAAUUCUGAUUGUGAAGGCUUCAGAACUCUGAUCUUCUCAAUUCAGGUGGAAACGUGUCUUUAGGAUAGAAAACAAGUAAACUGCAGGAUUCCCUUCAAGGUCUAGUUCUUCCCUGUCCCUACUUUGGGACACUGCUGAACAGGCUCCAUCUGAGUUCAAGAAUCUGGGUGUAUCUGUGCAGGCCAACAAGCCAAUACAGCAGGCAUUUGAAAGACACACAUACACGCAGGCCAUGCUUUUAGUCAUGCAAACACACAGUGUCUAUAUAUCUAUGUGCACAGAUUUCUGGGCAUGAAUAUAUGUGUUCCAAGCCCCAGUGUACCUACAAGUUUUGAUAUAAACCUACACACAGACGUGCAGCAUAUGUACACAGAUAAUACUUAAGUGUCCACAUGUCUAGAACCUGGAACAAAGCUGCAUAUAAAAGCAGAUGGAACACAGCAGCAGGGCUAUGUCUCACGUUGUCGUUUCCUGAAGCUGAUGUACAUGAGACACUUCAUUCUAGUUCUGUGGUUUCUGCAAGGAACUGGUGGGCCAACCAUUCCUAAGGAAUAUGGUGUUGACAAGCUGAAGACAGGCUGCACCAUCACGCGGCUACAGCUGUUGUUCUGAAUUUCAAAUCUGGUGGCUUCAUUGUUGUUUUCCCAAAAGUUUCAUGAAUUAUGUCACCAAAAAACUCACUGAUUUAUGGAGUAAAGUUGAAGCAAUAUCUAGUUGGUGUGUUUUCAAAGAGAAUAAAUGGAUUUCUGCUUGCACUUCUAUUCCCAGAGCUGAGUAUUUGAGUGUUUGUUCUAGGAUCUGGUAUCACACAGCCUUAUCUCUAUCCCCACUGGGGUGAGGCCCCCCAAGGAAGUUUAGGCUGGAACUUGAGACCACUUAUCACCAAAUUAAUAAAAUAGAUUCAUUUGGAAUCAGCUGACUCAAAGCAGGAAGACUUGGACCCAAUUCAAACAUCUAGACCAAAACCUACACUCUGUUUGGUUAAGAUCGGAUAGAAAUUCUUCCUCUUCACAUCUCACAUCCAUGGACAUGUCAUGGCAGAAGGCUCCAUCGUCCUCAGAGCCCAGCCAGGGAAGGUGAGCAGGAGGCAGCACAUGGCUGCCCACCUCUGUAGAAUUCCAAGGAACAGAAGCUUUUUAAAAAUUCAGAUUCCAAGGCCUCAGCCUGGGCCUCCUGACUCCUGGCCAGGGUUUGGAGAUGUAGAAGGAGGUAGAAGGAGGAGAUAGAAGGAGAUGGAGAAGAAGGCAUGAGUCAGUUUCCUCCCACACUCCAGGCCUUUCCCAGGGGUUGGGGAAGCCCUUGGGAAGCUCUCCUCUUUUGCUGCAGAGAUAGAGAAAGAGCGUGGCUCUGAAGUUGUGGCAGUGUCCCUCAGAGACUGGUCACUCACUACUACAGACCACAGGCAGGCCAGUGCUCCCUCUGGGCCUCAGUGUACUCUUCUGUAAAAUGGGAAGAUCAUACUGGGUGACCUCAUCCCUAACACCUCGUCUCUAGCUCUCAACUUCUACCACUCCGCGAAGUCGUGUGGGCUGGAAGUCAGAGCGGCUUCCUCAAAGAGGCGGAAGAGGACCCAUCACAUGAAGGGGCUGGUUUGGCGAGGCAGAGGUGGGAAGGAACGGGGGUAAAAACCCUCCCACCUGGGUGAGCGUGUCCAUCGGAGCAGUGGUUCUCAAAUGAGAAGCCCUUCCCCAUGAGCGAAUCACAAAGUUAUUUUAGGUAGGUCAUACGAAAUAGAAAGAGAUACGAAACGUAGAACAGACAAUAACUCAGUGCCUGGCAAACAGUGAGCACUAUGCAAACACGAGUUAUUAUUUCUAUCGUGAGUCAUGGUCCAAAAGUUUGAAAUACACUAACUUUCUGUGGCUCACUGUCUCUAUUUCGUCACCAGCAUGUGACCUCCAUGAGUGAGGGAUUUUUGACAGUUCUGUUCACUCUUAAAGCCCCGUGUCUAAAACAGUGCCCGGCACAAAGUAAAGGCUCAGUAAGUAUUUACUGGAUGAAUAAAUCGGUAUCAUUCCAUGCAAUUGUUGUCACAUACAUAUAUUCCCUCUUGGGCUAGACCGCCUGGGUCUGAGUCUGGCAGAUGAAUUCUGUGCUCCCCAGCCCGGCAAACCUCCCUGGGACACGGGGACGUCACAGCUCCUCUUCUCGGUGCUGUUGAAAAGAGUGUAUGCGGAGCUCCAGGGAUGGCGGCAGGCAGCCUCCGCCCCGCACAAGGGUGCUGGGAGACAUCUGUCCCUCCCCACCUGCCCCUGUUCCCAGCUGCCCCCCACAUCUCAACCCCACAGUUCCCUUUCCUGGCAGGAUCACUGCUCGGCAUCCCUCUCCUGGCAGCGACAAAAAUGGCCCUCUUCACCCCGACAGCCUCUUCUCCUCGUCUGUGGCCUGCUUGAGCCAGGAUGGGACUCAUUUCCUUCUCAGGUGAAGACGUUGUUAGUGGAGAAAAUGAAUCUUGGGCUAAUGAGCUGAUCAGAACCUUGAGCUGCAAGAGGGCUCCGGCUCUCUUCAACUCCUGGCCCAGUGGUCCUCAGAGCGUGGUUCCCGGACCAGCAGCGUCCUUGUCAACCUAGGAACUUGCUAGAAAAGCACAUUCAUGAACCCGCCUCAGACCUACUGAACGGAAAACUCGGCGGUGGGGCCCAGCCUCCAGGUGACCCCAGAGCUUGCUCAAGUUUGAGAACCACCAGCCUAACUAUUGUUGAGGAGGGAGGAAGCGGUGGUGGCCCCACUUGGAAGUCUGGGCCCUGGCAGCAUCAGGACUGACUCGUGGGGGAGGCGCUGGGAAGGGAAAGGCGGUGGCUGCCGUUUUCAGAUGCCUGCCUCCCUUCCCAACCUCGUCAUCCUCACAAGGGGAGGUGGCUGCCAAGUCACCUAAAUGCUGAGGGCGGCAGGUAGUGGGAGCCGCAUUUCCCAAAACACUGCGGGGGCGGGAAAGGCCCCACCUAGGAGAUCAGAGCUCUUCCCAAACACCAACGGCAACCCCAGCUCAUCGGAGCCACCAGGAAUAAUUCUUGCCAUUAGCCCCAGAGUCUGCCGCUCCCUCAGGGUCCCUCUCCCGGCAUCUGGGGGCUGGAUUUUCACACACACAGUGUGUAUGGUCCCGGAACACAGACGGGUGCUGUCCUCAGAUCGGGGGCUAGCAGGGUCUGGAGGAGCCCUCCUCAACAGAUGAGUCCCUGUGACAUGACUUUCCAGAGCCAGACCUCCCGGCCUGAUCAGUGCUCGCCCCUACUUGCGGUGUGUGAGCUGACACGAUUUACCCUGAUGGGCAGCUGUUUAUUUUUACAAUUUAUGGUGAACCAUGUUAGAAGUUUUCCAUUUCUUCUAGUCUUAGAAAGUUUCUUUUAAAAAUAAAUGUAAGGCCGGGCGCGGUGGUUCACAGUUGUAAUCCCAGCACUUU
RNAcentral lists this long non-coding RNA (7757 nucleotides) under Homo sapiens (human). Its description in RNAcentral is "HSALNT0130862". The record is from RNAcentral. Lineage: Eukaryota; Metazoa; Chordata; Mammalia; Primates; Hominidae.